This 72-nucleotide transfer RNA is filed under the name Rhodococcus phage Trina. Its description in RNAcentral is "tRNA-Gly". It matches the Rfam family "tRNA". From Rfam's summary of the family: Transfer RNA (tRNA) molecules are approximately 80 nucleotides in length. Their secondary structure includes four short double-helical elements and three loops (D, anti-codon, and T loops). The record is from RNAcentral. Lineage: Duplodnaviria; Heunggongvirae; Uroviricota; Caudoviricetes.
GUGACGUUGGUAUAAUGGUAUUACAUUUGCUUGCCAAGCAAAUAACGCGGGUUCGAUUCCCGUACGUCGCUC